GUUUCAAUGGUUGAUCACAAUCCUAUUCAAUUGUAUCUUUUGCCCUUCCUUGUUAUUUGUUGGAAACUGAAGUCAGAAAUAGCUUUCAGAAACCAAGUGCCUUGCUGCUAGGUGUCGGUGAUCAGGAAACCAUCUAUGGACUCAAAUUCCCUUUGGAGACUGCAUUCUUCAGACUAUUUGAAACCAGGUUGUCAACUCUGCUUUCACCUUGGACUGGUUGAAGUAUAGGACUUGGACGCUAGAAAUGCUGAUCCUAAAGGUGAUCAUUUACAUUUAUCAACUCCAGCUUGUACUCCACUUGCUGGAAGAUGAACUCAGUAGCAGAUCGACGAGUUCUCCAACAGUUUUCUGAGACCUAUCAUAUCCACAAACUCACAAUAAAGCAUCUCCCUGAUAUACGCUGUACCACAACAUCUUUAACAUAUAUGAACCUGAUAAUGAAGGCAGACAGCCAGUUGAU
Molecule: unclassified non-coding RNA, 460 nt
Filed under: Hevea brasiliensis (rubber tree)
Lineage: Eukaryota; Viridiplantae; Streptophyta; Magnoliopsida; Malpighiales; Euphorbiaceae
Source: RNAcentral